CCUACGGGUGGCUGCAGUGAGGAAUAUUGGUCAAUGGGCGCGAGCCUGAACCAGCCAAGUCGCGUGAGGGAAGACGGCCCUACGGGUUGUAAACCUCUUUUGCCGGGGAGCAACGGGCGCCACGUGUGGCGCCACUGAGAGUACCCGGAGAAAAAGCAUCGGCUAACUCCGGGACAGCAGCCGCGGUAAUACGGGGGAUGCGAGCGUUAUCCGGAUUUAUUGGGUUUAAAGGGUGCGUAGGCGGAGCGUUAAGUCAGUGGUCAAAUUGAGGGGCUCAACCCCUGCCCGCCAGUGAAACUGGCGCUCUUGAGGGGAAGAGAAGUAUGCGGAAGGCGUGGUGUAGCGGUGAAAUGCAUAGAGAUCACGCAGAACCCCGAUUGCGAAGGCAGCAUGCCGGCUUCCUACUGACGCUGAAGCACGAAAGCGUGGGGAUCGAACAGGAUUAGAUACCCGAGUAGUC
Molecule: ribosomal RNA, 460 nt
Filed under: uncultured bacterium
Lineage: Bacteria
Description: partial 16S ribosomal RNA
Rfam family: Bacterial small subunit ribosomal RNA
Source: RNAcentral